Molecule: long non-coding RNA, 1026 nt
Filed under: Panax ginseng (ginseng)
Lineage: Eukaryota; Viridiplantae; Streptophyta; Magnoliopsida; Apiales; Araliaceae
Description: long non-coding RNA (PGIN_LNC017971)
Source: RNAcentral
GAAGGACCUUUUUCGUCAUCAUUACUUAAACAUUUGGUUCCAUCCGAAGUAGGGUAUGUUCUUUGGGAAGUUCACAAAGAUAUUCGUGACAAUUAUUUGGCCCGAAGUUGUUGACCUACAAAGCACUUUGGCAGCGAUAUUCUUGAAAGAACUGAGGAUUCAGCACAGAAAGACUUCGGGUAUUCUACUUUGGACCCAUCUCCCACUAUUGAGGAAUUUCGGGCGCCGUCCGAAGCUGCAAAUGUUGCUUGGAGGGUUCAUGUGGAUAUUUGUCAGCCAAAUGGUUCGAUCCCACAUCAGCCACCAAAAGACUAUAUUUUGAUUUUAUCUCCUAUACCUCUUGCUGUCUGGGGGGUAGUCGUACUGGGUCCAUUGCCUAGGGAUCAGGUUAACAAACGCCGGCUCAUGGGAUCGAAGUUUAAAACAUUCAUAUGGAACUUCCGUAGCUCAUCCAUAUUCUGACAGGCACAACAAAUGCUACCUCGGAGUUAGGAGGUUCGGGAGGACUCGCUGACCAUUCGAUGGUAGCCUCUUCGGCAGGUGGUCACUUUGGCAUUGUCAGGCCCUUCGGGGUAGGCAAUUGUCGUCACUUUGACAUUGUCAGGCCCUUCGGGUUAGGCAAUUGUCGCCACUAUUUGGCAUUGUCAGGCCCUUCGAGGUAGGCAAUUGUCGCCACUUUGGCAUUGUCAGGCCCUUCGUGGUAGGCGAAUGUCAUCUUUUGGUUUUGAUAGGAGGUUCGGGAGGACUCGCUGACCAUUCGAUGGUAGCCUCUUCGGCAGGUGGUCACUUUGGCAUUGUCAGGCCCUUCGGGGUAGGCAAUUGUCGUCACUUUGGCAUUGUCAGGCCCUUCGGGGUAGGCAAUUGUCGCCACUUAGACUUCGUCAGGCCCUUCGUGGUAGGCGAAUGUCAUCUUUUGGUUUUGAUAGGAGGUUCGGGAGGACUCGCUGACCAUUCGAUGGUAGCCUCUUCGGCAGGUGAUCCUUUUGACUUCGUCAGGCCUUUCGUGGUAGGCGAAUGUCAUCUUUU